UUAAUCCCCAACCUAUGUUCGUGCGCCCCUAUGCACUGUUUUGUAACCAACCUUUCUUUAAUAAACUGUUAAACUGCGACUGAUGUACAGGCACAGUACAAGGUUUUCGGUACAGGUCAGAGUACGUUUCAGAAAAGAUGGGAUUGCUAUUUUUGCUGUUCGAACUUUCUUAGGUUUCGAGACGUGAGCUCGAGGCGAUGAAGGGUCGAGCCUGAGGGACUUCCCAUUUUUCAGUGUGUGUGUCGUGGUGGCGAGGAGCGGUGGUGUAGCUUCCUUUGGCUGCUGCUGCUCCUGCUCCUCCUUUCUUUUCCCCCUUUAGUCUUUUUUAACGCUUGUCCUCGUGUCCCUCUUCCUCCUCGUUGCCUUUCCAUCGUUAUCGUUAUCAUCAUCCUCGCCCUCUCCGCUGGCUUUGUGUUCCUCACCUUACAUCUGCAGAUGGGGCUCACAUUCCUCUUCCUUUUUCUGCUGAUUCAACGCUUCUCGAUUUUAGUUUUCUUUCUCCUCGUUCUCAUCUUUUAUCUUGUCCUCCACCACUCCUCUCCACACGAACAAGGACACACACACGCCACACUGUCACUGUCGAUCCGGUGUCAUUGCAACGUCUUGUUCAGUCGUGAUGGUCCUCGUCCAGCUCCUCGCCACCUCACCACACGCCACCACCGUCCCUGUUGAUGCUGCGUCAACUUUAUUGUUACCUGUCGAACUUCAUUGCAGUCCUCGCCGUUGCAUUCCCACAUGCGUCGCUGUCAUGGCACCCUGGCACCCUACAGCCACAACUGCUGCUGCUGUCUUUUAUCCUGUAACAGCCAGGCGUGUGAGCGGUGUUGUGAUCGUCGCCUAGAGGUGUCCAUGUUCCGGGAGUCGCUGCCCUUCCAGUCCUCCUCCGCUGUCUGUCUGAGCAACCUGGGUGAAGAGCGGCGGACGCCGCGUUCCAUGUUAAUGUUUGCUGACCAGCCGUCCUCUCUUAUUUUCUCAGUCCUAGCGAGGUGAAGGAGGGACGCUUGCUUCUGCGGCAAACAGAAGCAAUCCGCGAGGACGACAGGAAGGUGCGAACGUUUGAGGUGGAUGAAAAUAAUUAAUUAAUUGCUCAAUAUGUUGCUGACGAGCAGUCUUCAACGUUCGCACCGUGUCGUCCUCGUGGGUUGCCAUCUUAAACGUUUAACCUUCACCACUUUAUCAGAAGCCGCCUCCUUUACUAGCUAGUAGGGACUGGAGAGGCAAAGAGGACGGGGCUGAUCAGCAAACUGAUGGAGAAACCAAGAGUAUGCCAUCUCGUGUCUCCAACCCAACGGGGUGGUUGUAAGCACCGAGCAGAAUCAGGGAGCCAAGACGCAAGUAUGGGGAUAGCCCGCGAAUGCCCGGCGAUGUCUUUAGUACGAAAACUCUGGGAGGGUGAAGAGGCACGUGACAUUCAGCGGGUGAGAACUCGCAUGUUGCUGGAAGACAAGUAAGUGUUGCAACUAUGGACAUCUACCACCAGAGCGGUAGCCGGCCAUUACGAAUUACCCACACCAUUUUGAGAUGAAGAACCGGAUCUGCCAAACAACAACAACGAGAUGGCGCAGAAACGCUUGAAGGGACAGACGACGCCUCGCUAGGGAUUCGGACUUCAGACGACGAUAUGCAGGAGAGAGAGAACACU
Scylla paramamosain (green mud crab) is the source of this 1642-nucleotide long non-coding RNA. RefSeq lists it as uncharacterized. Lineage: Eukaryota; Metazoa; Arthropoda; Malacostraca; Decapoda; Portunidae. The transcript is spliced from 5 exons. The record is from RefSeq and is a predicted model, not a curated record.